GAUGAACGUUGGCGGUGCGCUUUAUGCAUGCAAGUCGUACGGAGCUGUAGUUUUCGGAUUACGGUUCAGUGGCGGACGGCUGAGUAACACGUAGGUAACUUGCCCGCGAGCGGGGGAUAACUUGCCGAAAGGUAGGCUAAUACCGCAUGGCAUGGAUUUGCUAAAGCAGAUUCAUUAAAGUCGCAAGACACUCGCGGAUGGGCCUGCGGCUGAUUAGCUAGUUGGCGGGGUAACGGCCCACCAAGGCAGUGAUCGGUAGCUGGUCUGAGAGGAUGUCCAGCCAGAUGGGGACUGAGACACGGCCCCAACUCCUACGGGAGGCAG
RNAcentral lists this ribosomal RNA (324 nucleotides) under uncultured Chloroflexota bacterium. Its description in RNAcentral is "bacterial SSU rRNA". It matches the Rfam family "Bacterial small subunit ribosomal RNA", at positions 28 to 351 of the family's 1533-position model. Lineage: Bacteria; Bacillati; Chloroflexota. The record is from RNAcentral.